UUUUCUGUCAGCUGUAUAUGUUCCAACGUACUGCGUCAUCCCGUUUAAUCCAGAUAUCCGAGCAUUGGAGAGUCCAGAACGAAUUCAUACACCCGUUCUAAUAAUUGUGUUUACUCUUUUUUUAUCUUCAUAUUCAUUGAGGAAUUUCUCGAGGUGAAAACAGAAGAAUAACCGUCGAAACGAAACGUAAACAGUCGAGCACCGAGCAUUCGAUACCUCUACGAGAUAUACGCAGAGAGAUCUCCACUCCCCUUCCGUCCUUCAACGAGUAAUGAUCUAACGAACGUGACGUAUUAAACUAUUU
Molecule: long non-coding RNA, 304 nt
Filed under: Polistes fuscatus (common paper wasp)
Lineage: Eukaryota; Metazoa; Arthropoda; Insecta; Hymenoptera; Vespidae
Description: uncharacterized LOC122526491
Source: RNAcentral